UAUUUGUUUGAUAAACCAAAAUACAAUUGCAAUCCCGUAAAAUAUUUAUUUUAAUUAUAUAUUUAAAUUAGCGGUGUACCGCGGUUUUUUUUUACGGGACGGAUUUGGCGAGACGGGUUUGGUAGGACGUUACUUAAUAACAAUUGUAAACUAUAAAAUAAAAAUAAAUAGAUUUAAUUUGCAAACUUUUAUAUAUACUAACUUAAAAAAUAAGUUGUCCCCGCGAUAUACCGCGGGUUAAAAUCUAGUUGGUAAUGUGUAAGUACAUAGAUUAUACGAUUUGGUUUGGAGAAAGACCGUAUACAACCAACAUAGUUAAUUAAGCUAU
RNAcentral lists this small RNA (328 nucleotides) under Arabidopsis thaliana (thale cress). RNAcentral's name for it is "ATSL299200". Lineage: Eukaryota; Viridiplantae; Streptophyta; Magnoliopsida; Brassicales; Brassicaceae. The record is from RNAcentral.